This 431-nucleotide ribosomal RNA is filed under the name uncultured prokaryote. Its description in RNAcentral is "bacterial SSU rRNA". It matches the Rfam family "Bacterial small subunit ribosomal RNA", at positions 355 to 796 of the family's 1533-position model. The record is from RNAcentral.
UGGGGAAUAUUGCACAAUGGGCGAAAGCCUGAUGCAGCAACGCCGCGUGAGGGAUGACGGCCUUCGGGUUGUAAACCUCUUUCGGCGCCGACGAAGCCUUCGGGUGACUGUAGGCGCAGAAGAAGCACCGGCCAACUACGUGCCAGCAGCCGCGGUAAUACGUAGGGUGCGAGCGUUGUCCGGAAUUAUUGGGCGUAAAGGGCUCGUAGGCGGCCUGUCGCGUCCGUCGUGAAAGCCCGGGGCUCAACCCCGGGUCUGCGGUGGAUACGGGCAGGCUAGAGUCCGGCAGGGGAGACUGGAAUUCCUGGUGUAGCGGUGAAAUGCGCAGAUAUCAGGAGGAACACCAGUGGCGAAGGCGGGUCUCUGGGCCGGAACUGACGCUGAGGAGCGAAAGCGUGGGGAGCGAACAGGAUUAGAUACCCCCGUAGUCC